This 197-nucleotide small nuclear RNA is filed under the name Citrus sinensis (sweet orange). Its description in RNAcentral is "U2 spliceosomal RNA". It matches the Rfam family "U2 spliceosomal RNA". Rfam says of the family: U2 is a small nuclear RNA (snRNA) component of the spliceosome (involved in pre-mRNA splicing). Complementary binding between U2 snRNA (in an area lying towards the 5' end but 3' to hairpin I) and the branchpoint sequence (BPS) of the intron results the bulging out of an unpaired adenosine, on the BPS, which initiates a nucleophilic attack at the intronic 5' splice site, thus starting the first of two transesterification reactions that mediate splicing. Lineage: Eukaryota; Viridiplantae; Streptophyta; Magnoliopsida; Sapindales; Rutaceae. The record is from Rfam by way of RNAcentral.
ACACCUUUCUCGGCAUUUUGGCCAGGAUCAAGUUUAGUAUCUGUUCUUAUCAAUUUAAUAUCUGAUAUGUGAGACAAUGGCUCGCACGAUAUUAGAUUAAUUAUUUUAAGGCGGAGAGCUCGCUACGGGAGCAUUCUACCAGGGCUCUCGAGCGUCGCCCUUUCGUUGCACUACUGCAAGGGCCUGGCACACGCUAC